Molecule: ribosomal RNA, 397 nt
Filed under: uncultured Methanosaeta sp.
Lineage: Archaea; Methanobacteriati; Methanobacteriota; Methanomicrobia; Methanotrichales; Methanotrichaceae
Description: bacterial SSU rRNA
Rfam family: Archaeal small subunit ribosomal RNA
Source: RNAcentral
AAUAUGAAGGUCGAGGCUGAAGACCUUACCGGAUUAGCUGAGAGGUGGUGCAUGGCCGUCGUCAGUUCGUACUGUGAAGCAUCCUGUUAAGUCAGGCAACGAGCGAGACCCACGUCCACAGUUGCCAGCAUACCCUCCGGGGGUGAUGGGUACACUGUGGAGACCGCCGCUGCUAAAGCGGAGGAAGGAAUGGGCAACGGUAGGUCAGUAUGCCCCGAAUCUCCCGGGCUACACGCGGGCUACAAUGGUUGGUACAAUGGGCAUCUACCCCGAAAGGGGAAGGAAAUCUCUUAAAGCCAAUCGUAGUUCGGAUUGAGGGCUGCAACUCGCCCUCAUGAAGCUGGAAUCCGUAGUAAUCGCGUUUCAACAGAACGCGGUGAAUACGUCCCUGCUCCUU